This 253-nucleotide ribosomal RNA is filed under the name uncultured bacterium. Its description in RNAcentral is "partial 16S ribosomal RNA". It matches the Rfam family "Bacterial small subunit ribosomal RNA", at positions 524 to 776 of the family's 1533-position model. The record is from RNAcentral.
UACGGAGGGUGCGAGCGUUGUCCGGAAUCACUGGGCGUAAAGAGCGUGUAGGCGGCUUGGUAGGUCCGCUGUGAAAACUCGAGGCUCAACCUCGAGAUGUCGGCGGAAACCACUUGGCUAGAGUCCGGAAGAGGAGAGUGGAAUUCCUGGUGUAGCGGUGAAAUGCGCAGAUAUCAGGAAGAACACCUAUGGCGAAGGCAGCUCUCUGGGACGGUACUGACGCUGAGACGCGAAAGCGUGGGGAGCGAACAGG